Molecule: long non-coding RNA, 6080 nt
Organism: Ruditapes philippinarum (Manila clam)
Lineage: Eukaryota; Metazoa; Mollusca; Bivalvia; Venerida; Veneridae
Exons: 3
Source: RefSeq, a predicted model, not a curated record
CAUGGCCGCCAUGAUUGUAAGAGAUUGAACUUGGACUUGUCUCAACAUUCAACUCUAUCAAAGUUACACUUUCAGCAUUUACCUGGGAGUCUACAAUUAAAUAUAUCAACACCGUCAUUAGUUGAUGUUACGUUGUGGAGAAUCAAUCUCGAUGAAAGUUCAUUGUUACUGUCACGUGACAUGUUGAAUAUUGAACGUGUGGAGUUGAGGUAUAUAGAAAUGUCUGCAGGAAGUUUACAGAACUUUAUUAUCGAGCUGGAAAAUCUGCCGCAGUCAGUUACAGUAGAGAUGUCCGCCAUUAAACCGGAAACAGAAUAUGACCGUGUGAGAGAAAAUAUUCGGAGAUCACAAACUUUUCAUGUGAUACCAGACGGGUGGCAGUUUUGAGUUCAAAACAAUAAAACCAAGCAAAGAAUAGACAAGAAAAAAUAUUGUGAAAUAAACUAAAUAAAUUAUUUCAAUUAUUUUAAAUAAUUAAAACAAUUAAAAUAUGGACACUUAGAAACAAAAUGGCGACUCUUCAAAUUACACUAUAGUCAUCAAUUAGGACAUACAUGUACAUCCGUUUUCAAUUAAUAAAUUCCGAUACAAGUAAAUAUAGAUGAAAAAUAACUGAUAGAAAUAAUUCAUGGAAGUUUUUUACAACUUUUUUACGGAUCUUAAUGGAUAUAAAAGUUGGACAAGGAUAUGGAAAUAUUUCACAGCGGCAUUGGAUCAUCAUGCAAAACCUCUUGUGGCGUUUACCAUUAUGAUUUGUGUGGUGAAAGAUCAAUUUUAUUGGGAUGAUGAGAUAUGUUUUGAACAACUUUUUUGGAAACAAAAGUUUCAUGUUUUUUGCAUGUUAAGAAAAUGAGCUUCAGUAAAACUAUAGUGACAAUGAUGACAACGCUUCUAUGAGAAUUAAAUAUAAAGGCUUGACAUCUGGUUCCUGGCAUAACAGAAACAUACACGAAAGAAAAUUGCUCUAAAAUAGUUUCGUAUAAUAUUCUGAUUAAUAGAUUAACCCGAAACAGACUAGCAAACUGUUGCAUUGUUUUACCAUAAAUGGUAAUUUACGUGUAAAAAAAAAUAUUACCACCAAGGCUGCUGUCAAAUAUAUUCCUGAGUUCCUUCAAAAUAUGUUUUGUGGAUUACUGUCAUACCGUUUGAAAACCUUUAUUGAUUUGAGAACAUCUUAUUGAAUUAAAGUUUUGGUUUAUCAAAUAAGGGACAUAAAGUAUAGAGGGAUAAGCAACUACCGACUGAUGAUGGCGUCCAGCUGACAGCCAAUCUGCAAUCAUAUAUUUAUGUCGCAAUUGUUAAACAAUAUAUUGACAAAAUAUUGUAAAGAUCAUUCAGAUACUAAAGGUCGAUACAAUAUUUCAUAUUUCGCCAUUUGCUUUAUACUUUUCUUAUUUACACUAAUUACAACGGACAAAAAUAUACCCGUUUACAACUACCAAAAAGACAAAUCAACGAAAAGAUAACGUAGCGCUAGUCUCUAGUUGCUUGUCCCAUUAUAUUUUGUCCUAGAUCUAAUGAAAACGGACGUUACAUAUGUACUGUAUUAUAAGAGUUAUAAUCAUUUUAUUUAAUUAGAUAUUCAUGUAUAAAUUUCUCUAGCAGUUUAAGAGUAAACAGCAAGAAUUAUUAGACAAAAAGUAAUUUAUCAUUAGAUUAUUGUUAAAUCUGACAAAGCAUAUACUUAUAGUCUUAUAAUUACAUGUAUUGAAAUUUGUAAUGUAGUUUGAUUUUCCUCUUUUAUAUAUUUUUUUUUUAUUUUUUGAACAAACGAUUUCAGCGUUGACAUAAAGGGACUUUGAAAGGACGCUUCCUUCCAAAGGAAAAUAUUACAAAUAGUUGCCUUUUUGUGAUAUAAUUUUUUUUCAAAUUUUUAUAUUUGUACAUAAUAUAGAUAUAUAUUAAUUGUAGUAUUAGUUAUAACGAUUUUGUCAUGUAGCACUCACGUUGUGUCCCAGGUUAUACAUUUUAAACUGUUUAUAUAGGGCAUAUAACCUGUCGAAAAUCUUUUUAACUUAGUACGUUUUGAAUAUAACCCUUCAAAAUAUCCUUAUGAGAUCCUUGCACUCAAGAAAAAACAAAUCAUCAUUUAUUCUGCUUAGAUGUGUUUAUCGUAGAAGGUUUGUCUGUAUACAUUAAAGGCCCAGUAAGCUCCAAUAAGCUAAUUUCUCAAAAACUUUUCAUUUUUGCCGUCACUUUUGGUUUUGCUUCUGUUUAAUUACAUUUAUUUAGUAUUUUGUAUGGAUGUCAACAAAACUAUAGUGUUUACAUUUUGCUUCCUUGCAAUACGUAUACGUAACUGUACAUUCAAGUUUAGUUUCUUGUGUUUUUUAACAUCUAAAAUAGACUAGAUCAAUUAUUAUAUAUUAUUGAACACAUAUUUGACCUGUCUAAAGAAUAAAAAAAAGGAUCUAUUUCUGAGGCAUUAUGUGCCUUUAAGAUACAAAUUAUUUCAUUAUCUCGUUGUUUUGCAAAUCCAUGUUCUAGUCUUUUUUGAUGGUUUUGUUUAAAGGCCCAUUAGGUUUUUUUUUAACAAUUUUCUACACGUAAGACAUACUACUGCAUGUUCUGUAUCAUUUGUCACUUUUAAAACAUCUCAAAUGCAAUAAAUCCAUAUUUAAACAUAAUUAUUAAACUCAUGCAUUACAUUUCUAUAGAGUGAAAGAAAUAUGGAUUUCUGAGGCAUCAUAUGCCUUUAAGUUGAUUCAAGUUGAUCUAUAUAGCUAGAUGUAUAUAUAUACAAUGUAUAUUACCGCCUUUAGUUUUGAGUUACUGUAAUCUUAUCUAAUUUGUCAAAUUAUUAUGUUAAUAUGUUGUAUAAAGGGAACAUAAAAUUACAUUAGUUUCGAUAUGUAUAUAGCUACAGUAGAUUAAAUCAGUUUAGUUUUUACAAUGCAUACAUUUAGAUAGCACAAUAAGGAAACAUUUACAAUGAUUGCAAUAAGGCAUUCUAGGCUCUACUUUAAUGUAUUAUUUUUGUUGUUGUUGUUGUUUUCUUUUUAAUUUUAAAGAUGACUUAAUGAAAUUUCAGCAAUAUUGCUUUAACAAAUGAUGGAAUUUUCACUCGUUACUAUGACGUCAAAUGUGACGUCAUUUUAUCAUGCAUGUUAUUCAAUACAUGGAGAAUAUUCAAAAUUUAGAAUCUAUAAUCAUAUUAUGUAAGCAUCUGGCGAGCAUGUUAUUGCUUUAGUCAACGAGUUUAAAAAAUUCUAGUAUUGAAUCAACACGAAUAUAUAGAAAAUACUCAAGUUUUGUUUCUAUUAAAAUACAGGAUAUAUUUCCAUCGAGUGAUAUGAACAAUAUUUCUCCAGUGGCAGAAGCUAACUGCAGUGACAAUGCAGAAAUGAAAUUAUGCAUUUUAUUUCAUCACAGUUUCUUAAUAUUUCAUUAAUAAGGGAAGGUUUAUUCUGUAAUCGAGAAAGUUUAUCCAGGCGAGCUUUAGCGAACCAAGAUUCACUUUUGCAGCGAACUGGAUAAACAUUCUCCAUCCCGACAACAAUCUUUAAACGUUUCAUUUUUACAUUUUCCGUGUUUACAUGUAUUUUUUACUAUAUGACGCCAUCAUAGACUAACCAUGUGAAUUAGUGAUGGAGAUUAAUUUCUUGCAUCUCUGACAGAAUUAUCUACCGUUUACACCCCCACUCCAUGUAAGACAAUUCGUGUGCUUUAAAUGACGUCAUUGACGCGCACCUUUUGUGAAUGAAUCACGUUCUUAGGACGACGUCUUUUUCCGUUAUGAAUGAGUUAUAUGUUCAUAAGCUACUAUAAGAAAAAAAGUGCGUAAUGAGAAUUUUAGUUUUCAUAAUUUCUGUUCCGAAAAUAAUUGACAUGUAAUAUGCAAGAAAAAGAAUCAAACGCCGACUAUUGGUACAGUAGGGAAAGAUAGCUCCCGAGAAACUGUUAAGCGGAAACUCGGCAGAGCCUCGUUACCGCUGUAAACAGUUACCCUCGAGCUAGAUAUUCCGGUCUGUACCGGUAGCCGGUGUAAGAUUCUCGCCUGAUAAUAUAGACAGUUACUGUUGUAGGAUAAAUUACAAUCAUGUGCCUUUGUUUAUGUGAUAAUAAUUUUCUGUAUAGUUUCUGUAUAGAUCUAUGUUUUUAGUAAUGCACUAUUUGGUAUGCUGUUGUUUGGAAUGGUAUAAUGAAUAUAAAGUAGAUCUAGCAAAAUGAUUAUUUUCAUAUAUUUUGUUUUUUCGUGUUUUGUUCUGUAACAAAAAUAACACUAACUUAGAAUGUACGUACGUUAAACAGCUGAAGCACUUAUCCCUUUCUUUUGUUUAAUAUAUAUAUAUGCAUAAUGUUUCCAUAAAAUGCACUCAUUAUGUGCUCUCUCUGCUUCAGCAAAGAAUACAUCUUUUUUUAAGAUUUUGAGCUUUUAGCCGUCCGUUGCUUACAAGUAUUUCAAAUGGCGCCAGCUCGGAAACUAUUUGACCUAAUUCAAAAAGCUUUUCCUAGGAUAGUCCUUGCAUUUAGAUCUUCCGCACUUGAUAAGAUGGUUUAAUCCAUUUCAUAUCUAUGUCCCAGAUUAAGUGGCAUUUUGAAAGAUUACAAUUACAGAAGAGCAAGGUAUUUGUUUGUAGCAUUUUGUUCAAAUCAUGCAUUGCAGUCGCAGUUUGGUUUUUUUUGGUAUUGUCACGUUAACUAUUCGUUUUACUCAAAAGCGAUGGAUUUCAGUUCAGCAAUGUACUUUUUGUUACUUUUUCUAGUUUCAUUUUUCUGUAUAUAUAGUUCAUUAUACGAAUUUGUAUAAUUUACAAAGAUAAAUAUUUUGUAUUAUAAUGUAUUCCAAACACCCUUAUUCUUCAAAUAUACAAUCAUCUUUAUUAGUCAUUAUAACCUCAGCGAAGUUUUAAUGUGUUUGUAUACUGGAAUAAUCUUGUACGUCCGUCCCACUAUCACAUAAAUCUGAUAAAGGUAAUUUGCAGUGCCCAAAAACAGUAACUCUUUAAUUUUUUAGAUUGAUUGUUUAAUGUACUUUUUAUUUAAUUUUUGUCCAAAGCAUGACUUAAAAAGCAUCAGAUUUAACUUCAUAAAAAUAUUAAUGAACAAAUAUUUAAUGAACAAAUAUUCUUGAGAAAGAGUGAUGUGUUGAAGAUACAUAACUCUCUAUUACAUAAUGUUGGAGUUACUGACCUUUGCACUUAGUAAAUAAAAUGAUGGUGCGAAACAUAACGUGAAAAGUUGCAUAAAUGAAUAGAACGCAUUUAAGAUAUGCACAUAAGACACAAUACUUUGAUAUGCAAUUGUUACUGCCAUGUACUUUUUCAUAUCUAAUUUCGUCCGAAGGUUGUCUGGUGCUAAAUUUACAAAGGGUUGAAGUAAAGACCUUAAACCUACAUAGAUAUAUUAAACUCAGUUAGGAAAUAUAAUGUAUAUAUUGUAUAAAACCAUACUCUUUUAUACUUGUACAUAUUUUUGUGAUGAUAGACCUUGUAAUUUGUAAUGCUUAUUUUUUGUUCGCUGCCAUUGGUUAAAGUUGCAAUGCACUAUAUUUCAUAAAUUUAAUUCAUUGCUAAUUGUAAUACAUUGUAUUUUAUAUAUUACGUUUUGCCACACGUACGCAGAUGAAGGUAUCUACAAGAUACGUCUUGGGAAGAUAUAUUUUAUUCACAUUUAUGCGUACUACUUAUUUCAUCGCCAUUUGUAAAUAGUUUAUUAUUUUGUUUUUGUCUAGAAUAUAAGCUUAAGUUGAUAUGAUGUAUUAAAAUAAAACUUUAUUAUAUUAUUUUGACAAAACGGUAAACAGGGAAUUAGGACAGUGCUUGUCUAGUUUGAUAUGAUAAAAACUAUUUGAAAAAAAGUUCAUGAUAUAAUGAUUUUAUUAUAAAAGUUAGCUGGAUAACGUUGAAAGAUUUACAAAAGUUGAUAAAAUGAUAGUAAAUAGGUAUUUUACUUUUAUGUAUUUAGUGACUAUUGAAAAUACUAUAAAUAGAUUUCAGUAUUUGAAAAUAUUAGUAUUAUGAUGUGCCUGCAAUAUGUAGGCAUUAUUUAAGAAGGGAAAUAACUUUGCAAAUGUUCGUACUGUUGCUAUAUGUGAACAUACUGUCAGAACUGAGUUUAGCAAUUUAUAAUAUGUUUAC